Molecule: small RNA, 502 nt
Filed under: Pan troglodytes (chimpanzee)
Lineage: Eukaryota; Metazoa; Chordata; Mammalia; Primates; Hominidae
Description: retained intron
Source: RNAcentral
GCUGGUGGAGAGAAACGGGUCCCUUGUGUGGGGGAUGGUGUGUGGCCAAAACUGGGGCAUCGUGGAGGCCAUGGUGGUCUGCCGCCAGCUGGGCCUGGGAUUCGCCAGCAACGCCUUCCAGGAGACCUGGUAUUGGCACGGAGAUGUCAACAGCAACAAAGUGGUCAUGAGUGGAGUGAAGUGCUCGGGAACGGAGCUGUCCCUGGCGCACUGCCGCCACGACGGGGAGGACGUGGCCUGCCCCCAGGGCGGAGUGCAGUAUGGGGCCGGAGUUGCCUGCUCAGAAAGUGAGAGUUCCUCCCCUCCCUCCCCACCGGGCUCCCGAGGGGACCAGAGUCCCACCAGUUAUUCCUCAAGAGACUCUGAAGCCUUGCCAUGAGCCAAGCAAUAGAGGAAGGUAGAAUGAAAUCCUAAGGGAGAAAAACUAGGGGCAAGAGAGAUGACCGCCACCCCAACCACAGAUCGCUGUCUAUGAUGUAGUGGGAAGAAAAGCGGGAGGGAG